Molecule: non-coding RNA, 84 nt
Organism: Flavonifractor plautii ATCC 29863
Lineage: Bacteria; Bacillati; Bacillota; Clostridia; Eubacteriales; Oscillospiraceae
Source: Rfam
GCCGGAGUGGCGGAAUUGGCAGACGCCCGGGACUUAAAAUCCCGUGGGAGGAAUCCCGUGCCGGUUCGACCCCGGUCUCCGGCA